UACGGAGGGUGCAAGCAUUAAUCGGAUUUAUUGGGCUUAAAGGGCGCGUAGGCGGGCCAGCAAGUCAGAUGUGAAAUCCCGGAGCUCAACUCCGGAACAGCAUUUGAAACUACCGGUCUUGAGGGUAGGCGGAGAAAACGGAAUUCCACAAGUAGCGGUGAAAUGCGUAGAUAUGUGGAAGAACAUCGGUGGCGAAGGCGGUUUUCUAGCUUAUAACCUGACGCUGAGGCGCGAAAGCAAGGGGAUCAAACAGG
This 254-nucleotide ribosomal RNA is filed under the name uncultured bacterium. Its description in RNAcentral is "partial 16S ribosomal RNA". It matches the Rfam family "Bacterial small subunit ribosomal RNA", at positions 524 to 776 of the family's 1533-position model. The record is from RNAcentral.